This 253-nucleotide ribosomal RNA is filed under the name uncultured bacterium. RNAcentral's name for it is "partial 16S ribosomal RNA". It matches the Rfam family "Bacterial small subunit ribosomal RNA", at positions 524 to 776 of the family's 1533-position model. The record is from RNAcentral.
UACGAAGGGUGCAAGCGUUACUCGGAAUUACUGGGCGUAAAGCGUGCGUAGGCGGUUUGUUAAGUCCGUUGUGAAAGCCCUGGGCUCAACCUGGGAAUUGCAGUGGAUACUGGCGAGCUAGAGUGCGGUAGAGGAUGGUGGAAUUCCCGGUGUAGCGGUGAAAUGCGUAGAUAUUGGGAAGAACACCAGCGGCGAAAGCGCGCUACUGGGCCAUUACUGACACUCAUGGACGAAAGCUAGGGGAGCGAAAGGG